Molecule: ribosomal RNA, 525 nt
Filed under: Triticum aestivum (bread wheat)
Lineage: Eukaryota; Viridiplantae; Streptophyta; Magnoliopsida; Poales; Poaceae
Description: partial small subunit ribosomal RNA
Source: RNAcentral
AUGGAGACGGUGGAAGACCCCACCCUGGAGCCUGCGAUUGGGUGGCUUGCCGACACCAUCCUUGCAAAUCUUCCAGCCGGCGGCAAGCUGGACUGGUGGAUCCACCAAGCUGGCCUUGGCAACGAAACCAUGACGCUCAAGGCCGAGGUCGAGGCAGUGGAGAUGGUGGUUUCUGCUGUGCAGGGGAGGGCGGCCGGAAACAAGCCGCUGACCCGAUCUCUCGCUCGUCUCAAGGAGCUGCUCUACGACGCCGACGAUGUGGUCGACGAGCUCGACGGCUACAGGCUCAAGCAGGAGCUCGAGCCAGAGACACUGCUCCAAACGGAUGGACAUGCUGGAGCGCAGCAAGUUGAGAGAUCUAGAGAAAAUGAUGACGAUGUACAGAGCAGCGGUAAUAGCAGGUUACAAUCCAAGGAAUGGAAUCACUUCGAAAUCACAGAGUUUGAACAAAACGGAGGGCGUGCCAGAGUAGGACGAUCAAUUGUGUCUGUCAUUCAAUCAUCACGCAUUGUACAGCAUAUAUAG